GGGAGGGAGGGAGGGGGGGCAGGGGGGGACGUCGGGGCCUGGGGGGCCGCGGGGACAAUAUUUCAUUCCGUCAGGUGCAGAAACCCGCCCCCUUUAUUCUCAAGAAGCACUGAGUUUAUGCCGAUCCCGUUGUACAAACUUAACGCAUAGAAAGUCAUUUCAGCCUCUGGGCCCCCAGCACCCUCCUGCCCUCACACCCAAGGCUUGGAGCAGGGUGCCUCAGUUUCCCCGGCCGGCUGGCACAGAGCUCCCGCACGGCGCCAAGCCCUGGGCCUCGGUGUCUGCUGAGGGCUCCACAGGGGGCUGGGACCCGACCCGGGGUGGCCUGGCCGGGGCCCCUGGUGGCCUUGGGGCGGCAGACCCCCCGGGGCUCCGAGGGGGUGGGAAGCGGCGGCUGGAGGGCUGGCGGCGGCUGAUAAGGCGCCAACAAUGGGCCUCUGUGCCUCACCCGCCUGGUUUGUCCCCGCGGGCCUGGCGGGAGGGGGCGGGUGUGCACGGGCGUGCGCUGGUGUCACGGAGGCCCCUAGACCGGGGGCUCGCACAGCACGCUCGGGGCCCACGCUCUCACCCACGGCCACUCGCACGCACACACUCGGACACGAGCCCACGCACAGAUUUGCACGCAUUCUCGCUCACAGGCUCUGACACCCUCCCUCUCCCACAUGCACACUCACACUGUCCCAUUUACACACUCAGGGCUGUCACACAAUGCAGACGUGAUGACACGUGCACACUCCUAUUUUCACACUCACAAGCACACACAGGGAUUUCUCACAUACUUAUCACACUUACUGGGACAGUGUCACACUCGCACACUGGCGUGUUUUCACACAGACACACUCACAUUGGGCAUUUUCACACUCAACAUUUGCACACAUGAUGUGACCACGACCACACACUAGUGUGUUUUCGCCCUUGCACACACUCACAUGGUGGUGUUCCCCCACUCACACGUGACGGGCCGGCCUCCCUCUCACACGCACCUGGGAGCUCGCACACUCACACCCAGUCAGGCCUCCCACACUCCAGCAUUUUCACACUCUCACAGACACGCUGUCUCGCACACCGACAGUGAGUGGGUACCGACACACACACACAUGCCCGUGUGCACACGCAGCCUCGGAGCCCUCCCGGGAGCACGUGGACUGUGUGCACAGGGGUGUCCCCGUGUCCCGGGGGGGAGCUUGGCCUGCCGCAUGCGUGUCCCCACCACACGCUCGCACACACAGGGCACACACGGAACACGCCAGUGCCGUGGGGCCCUCGGCCGCAGAGAUUCCCGGGGAACAGUGUGUGGCACAGACACGGCGGCUGCAAGACGCAGAAUCUGCAGGGGAACCGCCCCACGCUUCUAGCUAGAAGCCAUGAAUCCCCAGGGCUGGGGCGGGGAGGAGGGGAAACUGAGGCCCAGAGUGGGGCGAUGAGUCGCCCAAAGUCACACAGCUGGUCUCCUCCAAGGAUCAGACGGCCAGGGCGAAGGCGUGUGGAUGUUCUAGCAGCUUCUUUGGUGGGGCCAGGAAACACUGCUCAUUAUCCUGGUGCCCAGGCAACACCCCUGAGCUCCGCCUUUCCACAGAGCCUCCCGGGGACACUCAUCAGGCGCACCUAUUCCCCGGCCUCUGAACUGCUGAGCUCCUGGCCUCACGCUCGUUCCCCGGGACAGGAAGGACGAGAGGGGAGCCCUGCCUCCAUGCGCUCAUCUCUCUAGUCUGGGUGAGGCCUGACAUCAGGGCCUUUCCCCAUUAGGCAAACUCCUAUUCAUCCUUCAAAACCCCAGCUCCUACAGCCCCUUCUCCAGGAAGCCUUCCUUGCUCCCCAUCUCGGCCCCCCAGCCGCCGUGGGGCCCCCCUUCUUGCUCAGCCCUGCCGGCACGGUUUCUGUGCCCAUGUCUGUCUUUGCUGGACUGGCGCGUUCUGGAGGGACAGCCUGGCCCCAGUUGUGUCAAGGGCAGGCUUCGAUAAUUCUGCUCCCAGAGGCCUGAGCCGGCUGCAGCGCCCUUUCCAAGCUUCUGCCUGGCGGCGCCUCCUUCUCCCUCCUCUCCGUGUCCCUCCAGGACCGUCGCCAGUCCUCCCCUAAGUCGGUGUCCCCAUCUUCCAAAAGCGCCCUAAGGAGGCCACCCAGCAGUGUGGGGACGUCGGGUGGACCCAGAGGUGAGGCGUGUGGGGCUGUCAUCAUGCUUCCAGGCUCAGUGAGCCGGGGACUGGCAGGGGGGCCUGUUCUUAGGGAAGCCUGCUCCUCUCCGUUCCCCUAGACGGCCCCUGUGGGGGGCAGUCCCCAGGGUCCUGCAGAUGGGGAAACUGAGGCCCCAGGAGGGGCAGGACUUGAGGCCUCUCUCAAGGCCAGACUCAGUGGUUCCUUGAAAUGAGAAGCAAAUUCCGCAGCUGCAAAAAUGUGCCCCUCCUUCGGGGGCCCCAGGGCCCGGCCCCACCCCGGGGCAGGGACUCGGAGGCCGGGGCAGCCGUGCGCCGCGACACACAUCUGGGGGUAAACGAGGAACAUCUGGCCAGCACAGCUGGUUCUGAUGCCACGUCUGCGGCGGCCGGGGCCAGCCCCUGGGGCGGCCUCAUGGGGGCGGCAGUCACAGACACCCCCUGCCGACCCUUCCAGGCCUGGCCAGACGUGGGGGCCCCCAACCGGAGGCUGCGUGCUGCCCAACUGCUAGAACCAUCGCUGGCUCCCCACGACUCGGAGGAUCCUAACAACAGUGAGCAACGCUACUGGGGCCGUCAGAAGCUCUUUACGCACAGUAACUCCUAGCAACGCAUGGGCUAUUUUAUCCCCAUUUCGUAGAUGGGAAAACUGAGGUCCAGAGAUGUGAAGUGACUUGCUCAGGGUCAAACAGAACUUAAGUGGCCAAGCUGGGAUUUGAACACUGGUGAUCAGGCAAACUCCUAUUCAUCCCUCAACGCCCCAGCCCCAAUGCCCUCUCCUCCACAUUCUUAACCACUGUACCAUAUGGCCUUUCUAACAACAUUGUUGUGACAACAUUAACACCAGGCAACACUGGCUGUUCCACUUAUUUAGUGCCACGCACUGUGCUAAGUGCUUACCACGUUUAAUUCUCCCCACAGUCCCUGGAAAAGAUGUUGUUAGUAUUAUCAGCCCCGUUUUCCACAUGGGGAAACUGAGGCUUGGACAGGUACAGUGACUUGCUCAAGGUCACCCAAAAAAUAAGUGGCCGAGCUGGGGUUUGAGGCUGGGUCUGACUCCCAAUUUGUUCUCUUGAUGCCUCCACAACCCCUGGGACCUGCGUAACAAGGGCAGUGCUGAGGGGGAGGGAAGAAGCGGGGAGGGAAUGACAGGCUCUGCUGUUUGGGAGAAAAGUAGGGCUCAGGUCCAGAGAAGUCUGGUGGGCCCUCCAUAUUCGCGGAUUCUGCAUCCGCGGAUUCAGCCAACCGCGGAUGGAAAAGCCUGUGACGGGUGCGUCUGUGCCGAACAGGGACAGACUUUUUUCUUGUCCUUAUUCCCCAAACAAUACCAACUAACAACUGUUUACACAGCGUUUCCAUUAUCUUCGGUAUCAGUAGUCAUCUAGAGAUGAUUCAAAGUCUACGUGGAUGUGCCCAGGUUGUAUGCAAAUACGUCGCCAUUUCUAGAAGGGCCUCCAGCACCCGCGAGUUCCGGAUUCGCGGGGCUCCAGGAACCAAUCCCUCGCGGAUACCUGGGAACCCCCGACCAUAAGAGGUUUCCUCAAAGCCACACAGCAGAGCAGGACGAAAUAAAGGGCCCCCGUGGCAGAAAGCCCCGAGACAUUCGCUCAACAGUGAUUGAGAGCCUACUGUGUGCCCGGCAAGGCAGGGAACUCAGAAUGACCUGCCCUCUGCGGCUGUCCCUAAAAUUCCCACCGUGACCCCAGCAGACCGGCCUGGGCCGCCAGCAGGCAUCGCGGUGGGCAGGAGGGGCUCGCGGGCUGUGAUGACAGGAUCAGCCUAAUGAGGCCUGGCACGCGGAGCAGCUGGCGCAGGGCCGGCGGGUGGCACAUGGGUCCCCCAGGAACGGCCAGGAGGACGCCACUCAAAGCCAGCCCGCUGACACAGAGGGAAACCGAGGCACAGACCCCUAACACUGGGAACCGGGGCACCCAAGUCACCUCUGCCAUCUCCCCGAGUUCGAAUCCUGCCUCGGGUCCCAACACUCUGAGCUGUUCAGGCAUGAAUGGGCCUCAGUUUCCCCAACUAGGAAGCAAGAUCCACCUGCUGCAAGCAGGGGCCCCCCCCCCCCCGGGUCUAAUUUCUUCCAGAACUGGCCCGAAGCCUGAUUUCACCCGGAUGGGAAGAGAGCCUUCUGGAAACUCCUGAGCACCCUUGCCAACCUUUCUGAACAGCCUCUCCCUCACACACUUGCCCGGGCACCCUGGAUUUUCCAAAACCACCCCUGCUCUUUCCAGCCUCAAGAUCUUCGCAUGUGCAGUUCCCACCACCUGGAAUGCGCUUGUUCUUUUUCCACUUUGAAAACUCCUACACAUCCUUCACAGCCCCAGCUCCAAUGCCCCUCCUUGGGGAAAGUCUCUCCUGACGCUCCUACCCUGAGGCACAGCCUCCACACCCCACUCUGGGCUCCACCCUGGAUCUAAGUCUGCCUUCCUUGAAGGACAGGGCCCAGGAGCCCUGACACCAAACAGUGGGCCACACCAUUGCCGUCCCGCAAACACUUGUGGCCCAUUUCUUGACCGCGUCCUUGCGCCCGGCUGCAAACUGUGGGGUUCCCUCUCGCGCCCCAGCCUCUUGGGAGCCAUAUCGUCUCCUCGAUCCCUGAAAACUGAGGGACGAGGGCUGAUGGGGGUUGCGAGACACUGUGCCAGCAGCAGGGGACGUUGGCUUUGUGCUCUGCACCCGCACAGCCAGCUCUCUGCAGCUCGCUCAGAGGGGGCUGUGCACCCAGGACGGCUUGGGGACCCCGAGCCCAGGAGUCCUGGGAGGUGGCCUGAAGGUCCCCAAGGCCGGGAAUGGAGGGGGGCGGGGAAGCUGGCAGAGCUGGGAGCCUCCCCUGGGUUGACAUCCGCCCAGACCAGUCACGCCCCGGUGGGGCUUCCUCAGCCCCCGGCGCUUGCAGACAGACAAAGAGUGUCAUGGAGCAGAGAAGGAGGGACGGUGGCCAGGGACGGGGCAGGGUGGGCGGGCAGGAGGGACGAAAGUCAGGGGUCCCGCCUCUGCACCCCCUCCCAGGCCCCUGGCCUUGCUCCCAGAUCCGGGCUGGGGACCCAGCCUGGCAGGUGACCACGGGCCGGCUGAGCUGGCCCGGUGGCCCCACGUAUACGCUGAUGCUCCUGGGAGGGGACAGCGGUGACAUCAGCCCCUGGGAGAGGCCACUUCUCUC
This 5316-nucleotide long non-coding RNA is filed under the name Equus asinus (donkey). RNAcentral describes it as "lncRNA (ENSEASG00005027063.1)". Lineage: Eukaryota; Metazoa; Chordata; Mammalia; Perissodactyla; Equidae. The record is from RNAcentral.